RNAcentral lists this ribosomal RNA (492 nucleotides) under uncultured bacterium. RNAcentral's name for it is "partial 16S ribosomal RNA". It matches the Rfam family "Bacterial small subunit ribosomal RNA", at positions 29 to 507 of the family's 1533-position model. The record is from RNAcentral.
AGUGAACGCUGGCGGUAGGCCUAACACAUGCAAGUCGAACGGCAGCACAGUAAGAGCUUGCUCUUACGGGUGGCGAGUGGCGGACGGGUGAGGAAUACAUCGGAAUCUACUUUUUCGUGGGGGAUAACGUAGGGAAACUUACGCUAAUACCGCAUACGACCUACGGGUGAAAGCAGUGGAUCUUCGGACCUUGCGCGAUUGAAUGAGCCGAUGUCGGAUUAGCUAGUUGGCGGGGUAAAGGCCCACCAAGGCGACGAUCCGUAGCUGGUCUGAGAGGAUGGUCGGCCACACUGGAACUGGAACACGGUCCAGACUCCUACGGGAGGCAGCAGUGGGGAAUAUUGGACAAUGGGCGCAAGCCUGAUCCAGCCAUACCGCGUGGGUGAAGAAGGCCUUCGGGUUGUAAAGCCCUUUUGUUGGGAAAGAAAAGCAGCAGGUUAAUACCCCGCUGUUCUGACGGUACCCAAAGAAUAAGCACCGGCUAACUUCGUG